CGAACGGAAUUUUGAAGCUUCCGUCGAUAAAUUCUAGUGGCGGACGGGUGAGUAACGCGUGGGUACCUGCCUUAACAGGGGGAUAACAGUCAGAAAUGGCUGCUAAUACCGCAUAAGGCUGCAUGGCAAAAACUCCGGUGGUAUAAGAUGGACCCGCGUUGGAUUAGCUAGUUGGUGGGGUAACGGCCCACCAAGGCGACGAUCCAUAGCCGGCCUGAGAGGGUGAACGGCCACAUUGGGACUGAGACACGGCCCAGACUCCUACGGGAGGCAGCAGUGGGGAAUAUUGCACAAUGGGGGAAACCCUGAUGCAGCGACGCCGCGUGAAGGAAGAAGUAUCUCGGUAUGUAAACUUCUAUCAGCAGGGAAGAUAGUGACGGUACCUGACUAAGAAGCCCCGGCUAACUACGUGCCAGCAGCCGCGGUAAUACGUAGGGGGCAAGCGUUAUCCGGAUUUACUGGGUGUAAAGGGAGCGUAGACGGUGUGGCAAGUCUGAUGUGAAAGGCAUGGGCUCAACCUGUGGACUGCAUUGGAAACUGUCAUACUUGAGUGCCGGAGGGGUAAGCGGAAUUCCUAGUGUAGCAGUGAAAUGCGUAGAUAUUAGGAGGAACACCAGUGGCGAAGGCGGCUUACUGGACGGUAA
RNAcentral lists this ribosomal RNA (644 nucleotides) under uncultured bacterium. RNAcentral describes it as "bacterial SSU rRNA". It matches the Rfam family "Bacterial small subunit ribosomal RNA", at positions 63 to 739 of the family's 1533-position model. The record is from RNAcentral.